UUUUUUUUUUUUGGUGAAAAAGAAAUUACAAUUUAAGUAUCAAAUAUUAAAAAACUCAACACAUAAUCUUUGUCAACCAACCGCAAACCCGGCUCCCUAUCCCGCCUAAGCUUGACUAUUCUAUCUGCAAGUCUAUUCUCGUCUCUAGGAAUAUAUUUAAGAUUCCAGUGCCUCAGGAGCUUCAAAAACAAAAGUAUUCUCCUAACUAAGGCAGAAUUAGAACCAUUACGAACUCCUUUAUGAAUAAGAUUAGCAGCUUCAAGAUUAUCUGUCCGAAUGAUGACUUUUCGAUAGCCACGAUCAAGAGUAAUUUGCAGUCCAUCAAGGAUGCCCCAUAAUUCUGAAUCAAUAACUUCACAAUUACCCAAACACCAUGUGAAACCAAUAAUCCAAUUCCCAUUAUGAUCUUCCAAAAGUCCUCCAGCUACGGCAAACAUAUCUACAGAUUUGACAGAACCAUCCGUGUUCAAAUAGACCCAACUAUCCGAAGAACCUGGAACUAAAUCCGAUCUUGAAAAUUUAAUGCCUUGCGAAUCUGACACCAAAACAUACUGUUUUGCCGAACAUAGAGAUGAUUUGAUAACCUCAUCAGUACUCCACGAAAGACCUUGAAAUACGCGUAGAUUCCGAUUCUUCCAAAUGCGUCAAAUGAUAAUCCCGAACAGACAAGACCAACUGACUCCUCCCACUAGAUUUAUGGCUUGCUGAUUCCAUAAAUUAAGCUCCAUCCAUUCAUAUAGAGACCCUGCAAAAAAAAAGAUUGUUUACCUGUAGGGAUUAACUGCAUCCAUAUAUCUCAUGCCGUUGUGCAAUCCCUUAGAACAUGAAGGACACUUUCAUAAUUAUGGCCGCAUAUACCACAAGUAGUAUUUGAUCCCAAUCCUCUUCGUAUCCUUUCAACAUUGCUGAGCAAAUGGUGUUUAAUAGCAAGCCAAAUGAACACUCUAACCCUUUGUGGUCCCUGAUAUUUCCACGACAAUUUCCAAACAUCCUCUUUCGCAUUCCAUGAACCUUCCCAAAGUUUUCUAUACGUACUUUUAAUUCAGAAAGAGCCAGACGUGAUACCCCCUCAAUAAUUCUAUCCAUGCCAGAAUUUGAUUGAGGUGGCGGAAUCCUUACAAUCUGAUGAAUGAUAUCUUCAGGUAACCAAUGACAGAAGAAAUCUAAAUUCCAAUUCCUAUUUUCCGUGACCAUAUCACUAAAGGAACAAUCCAUAUCCAAGCUAGAAUUGCAAGCUAUCUUUUUGUAUAAAGGCCCAACAUUAGGAACCCAAGAAUCCUUCCAACAGUUAAUACUGCGUCCAUCUCCAACUGACUAGAGGAGAUUCUCACGUAUGAGAGGCCAAAUCUUCGAUAGAGAUCUCCAUAAGAAAGAGCAACGUCCCAUUGAUAAAGAUUCUGGUAAAUCACUUUGAAUCUCAUACUUAGACCGAAGCACUUUAACCCAUAAAGAAGAAGAAUCAGUCACUAAAUUAAAUAUCAAUUUUAUCAUAAAUGAAGUAUUAUGAUCACGUAAAAACCUUAUACCAAGACCACCAUGCACUUUAGGUUGACAUAUUGAAUCCCAACUUACCAAAGUCAUUUUUUUUAUUUCCACUAGUGGAUCUCCAAAUGAAUUGUCGAACCAUAACUUCAAUCUCAUCACACAAACUUUUCUGGAUCAUCAUCGAUUGCAUAAAGUAGCUCAGAAUUGAAAGCAAAACCGCUUGAGCUAAAGUAAUUCUACCUGCAAGAGAGAGUUGUCUAGCGUCCCAACUACAAAGUUUACUACGUACCUUAUCAACGACAAAGCGCAAAGUAUUAUUCGUAACCUUCUUAUAGAAUAGGGGAACCCCUAAAUACAAACCAAGAUUCUGCACCACUUGGAACCUAAAAAAACCACUAAUACGCCGUUGAAUGUCUUCAUCCACUCCUUUAGAGAAAAAUAUAUUUGACUUUUGCAUAUUAACAUUAUGACCCAAAAAACCACAAAAAGUGUUUAAAACUUCCUAUAUAACCCAUGCCUGCUCCUCCUCCGCCUAGCCAAAAAGGAUUAAGUCAUCUCAAAAAAAAAUAUGAGAAAGGGACAGACCUGAUCUAGACAGCCGGAUAGGCGACCAUCUACCAUCUGUCAUGGCCGCAUGGAUACCAUGCCCUAACCAUUCCAUACACAAAAUGAAAAGGUACGGUAAAAGCGGGCAUCCUUGACGAACUCCUUUUACCGGUUUGAAUUUCCAGGACGACACUCCAUUCCAAAGCACCUGCAUAGUUGAACUAGAAAUAGCUGACAUAAUAACAUUACAGAGAAAAUUAGGAAUACCUGCAGCUGUAAAGAAGCGUCUAUGAAAUCCCAACAUACACGAUCAUAAGCCUUCUCUAGGUCAAUCUUAAUAGUCAUCCAUCUUUUAUUCUUUUCCUUACUCUUCAUAGAAUGUAUGACUUCUUGUGCAAUAAUGAUGUUAUCAUUUAUAUUCCUUCCUGCUACAAAUCCUGCUUGUUCAGGUCCAAUGAUCUUCGAAAAAACCACUUUCAAUCUAUUAGCAAUCACCUUAAUCACUAACUUGUAUAAGACCGAAUAAGGACUAAUAGGACGAAACUGCGAAAAACAUUCCGGAUGUUGCACUUUAGGAAUAAGGACAAUAAGUGAACUAUUAAGGUCUGGAUCAAUGUUCUCCCCAAAGAAAACACGUCUAACCCACUCACAAAUCGAAGGACCAACCAGCUCCCACUGACUCUGAUAGAAAAUAGCAUGUAGGCCAUCACUGCCUGGUGUUAAAGGUGCCAUAUCAAAAAGGGUCUUCUUAAUCUCCUCAUCAGAAACCGGUAUAUUAAGGAAUUGAAUCACUUCCUACUUAAGAGCCGGGAAUGAACCACACCCAAGACUACCCGUUCUUCCUAAUUGUUUGCUAUAAAGGUUUUUAUAAAAAUUAAUCGUUUCCUGCUUCAAAUCCUCAUCAUCCAUAACCCACUCCCCUGCUUGAUUUUUUAAUGCAACAAUACGAUUGUGCUUCCUUCUCUGAAGAGUUUGCCUAUGGAAGAAUCUUGUAUUACGAUCUCCAAAAGCUAAACAAUCACACCUAGCCUUUUGCCACCAUAAAAGUUCCUCAUGAUGCAACACUGACUCUAGCUCAUCACGGAUUUCUAACUCAACAUGAGUUAAAAAAGUAGAGCUUUUUCGAUCAAUCGCCUUCAGGACAUUGUCAAGCUUCUUCUUCAAAAGAUUCUUUCGAUGCUUAAUGUGACCAUAAACCUCCUUGUUCCAUAAUUUUACUUACUUGGUGAAGAUAGCAUGAGUAUACGACAUGUUCCUUAAAAACUCUCAAUUCUUUUUAACAAAUUCUGAAAAACCCGGAUGCUCAACGCAACCAGCCAAAAAAUGAAAAGACCUUCUUGAGGACGACUAGACUUCAGGCAUAAGAGUUAAUUUAAGAGGUCUGUGGUUCGAUUUAAGCUUUUGUAAAUGCAGGAAUUUUAACAAAAGAAACUUAAUGCUCCAAGCAUCAUUACAAAUCGCUCUAUCCAGUCUCUCGAAAACACCCCCUUUAUUCCAGGUAAAGUUAGGACCACUAAACCUUAAAUCUUGUAGCCAUAUGAAAUUCAUGAAAUCACUAAAAAGAGCACAUCUUUUCCCAUUGACCCGACCUCCUCUUUUCUCACAAGGAUCGAGGAUAGUAUUAAAAUCUCUAAUUGCUAACCAUGGAGUCUCAUCCACCGGCACAAUAUACUUAAGAGCUUCCCAUAACUGCUUCUGCUUUUGACCAUUAUGACUCUCAUACACAAAGGUAACAAAAUCGAUUGCCAAAAAGAAAUUCCAGAAAUUUUGAUUAAAAUAAAUUGGGAAAGAUUUCCCAAAAUAUCCUCAGAAGUUGUUUUUUUCCAUCCAAUCUAAAUUCCAUCGGAGAAACCCACAGCCUCCACAUGAUAUGAAAAAUCAAAACCAAGCUUAGCAAUAACUGAAUCAACUUUGACACCACUUACCAUUGUUUCCAAAAGUCCAAUCAAAUCAGGUUUAUGUUCUCUAUUAUAUUCCCAAAAAACACGAGGAAAUUUUAAGCUCGCACAACCUUGACAAUUCCAGCAAAAAUAGUAAAAAUCAUAUUUAAAAUAAAAAUUAAAAAUAACAAAAUUAAAAAUACUGCCAUAUUAUGCCGACAUAGAACCAAUGCGACCAAUCUGUCUAUCAGCACUGCCACUAAUCUCCUCAACUCCAACCUCAACUUGCGAAUUGAUGAGAUUAGCCAUAGAGCUUAUAGCCUCUGUCAAAAGAAUUCGAGAAAUUUUAGCUGUUAGAAUUAUGUGACCCAAAUUCUAAGAGAUUGCUUGCAAGUCAAGUUAAACAAAAAUAUAUUUUCUUUCUAGAAGAUUUAAUAUUUAUUAGUAUAAUAUAUUUAGCCUAUAAAUAGGCUCUUUACAAUCUUAGAAUUAAGUGACACCCAUUAGAUUAGAACUCAUAACACAUUCAGAGAAUUUUGUAUUUACGUUUUGAUGAUUCUUUGUUUUUCGGGGUUUAGUUUUUAUCUUCAUCUUUUGUACUCUUCAUUCUUUUGCCAUUAUAGUAAAAUUAUCUUUGCCCGUGGUUUUUUAUCCUCUUUUGAAGGGUUUUUCCACGUUAAAUUUGUGUGUUCAUCUUCUCAAUUUCUUCUACUAUUUUUACUUGUUCGUUGCUUAAUCAGGACGAUCCUAACAAGUGGUAUCAGAGCUAGUUUAACUUUCAUAGAUCAGCCCGUUCAGACAUGGCAACAAUAAGGUUUGAAAUUGAGAAGUUUGAUGGUGAGACAAAUUUCAAUCUGUGGCAAGUUCGGAUGAUGGCAAUUCUAGUUCAAAAUGGCUUGAAAAAAGUUGUUACAGGGAAAAAGCCUGAAAAUCUAAAUCAAACAGAAUGGGAAGAGCUUGAUGAAAAGACCUUGUCUGCAAUCCAAUUGUGCCUCGCGAAUACAGUAUUGCAGAAGGUAUUGAUGGAGAAGACCUCAUUCGCCUUGUGGAAAAGGUUAGAAACUCUUUAUGCGACUAAGUCUUUGGCUAACCGUUUAGUGUUGAAACAACGUCUAUUUACGUUUCGCAUGAACGAAGGUGAGCUUCUUAAAGAUCACAUCAGUCAAUUUAUUACUCUUUUAAAUGAUUUAAAGAACGUUGAGAUUCAUAUUGACGAUGAAGAUCAAUCUAUGCUAUUAUUGUGCUCUUUACCCUCUUCAUGCAAGUCUUUCAGGGAGACCCUGAUUUAUGGCAGAGACAAACUCUCGUUCGAAGAUGUGAAGGGUUAUUUGUUGAGUAGAGACAAACUCGACAAUGAGUUUGGUUUGAAUAGCAAAGCAGAUAGGCAAGCUUCCAUUUUGGUAGCAUCAAAGAAACGAGACAAAAGGUGUCGCUAUUGUAAAAAGUUAGGUCACGUCAAAGCAAAUUGUUAUAAACUGCGAAAUAAAAGAGCUGCUGAGAGUAACGAGGAAGAUGUAACUGAUGCUAAUUUGGUCGAUGAAGGCGGUGAUGAUUUCUUGUUAGUGUCAACGAGCGAUAACUCCAAGCUUACGUCUGAGUGGAUCCUAGAUUCAGGAUGUUCUUUCCACAUGUGUCCCAAUAGAGAAUGGUUCUCCACAUACAGUUCAGUUGAAGGUGGAGUUGUGCACAUGGGAAACGAUUCAUCUAGUAAAAUAAUCGGUAUUGGUACUGUUAAAAUUAGGAUACACGAUGGGACGAUUAGGACACUCUCAGAUGUCAGGUAUGUACCUGAUUUACGAAUGAAUCUCAUCUCCUUGAGUAUUUUAGACUUGAAAGGAUGCAGAAUCAACAUCGAGUCGAGCGACAUUAAAGUAUCUCGUGGAGCUCUCGUUUUGUUAAAAGGUAAAAGAACUGGCAGUCUUUAUAUUCUGGAAGGUUCUACAGUGACCGGUGAAAUCGGACAUCCCUCGUCCGUUACGGAGUCAAAGUCAACUCAUUUGAAGCGGAGGCAACUUGGUCAUAGGAGGGAAAAAGGUAUGACCGUUUCGUUGAAGAGAGGUUCUCUUUUGGAUGCAGGUUUUGAAAAGUUAGGGCACUGUAUUCGUGAAAAUCAGACCCGGGUUAGUUUUGAUUUGGCAGUGCACAAGUCGAAGGCUAGAAGUCUUCCAGCUUCUAAGCAUAGAUUCGACUCAGUUAAUUCCCUGCAUAGUUCAAGAUAGGCCCGUGGCGGGUUUUGGCAAAGAUGGCAUUGAAAGAAUUCGUGUCAAGGUGGAGAUUGUUAGAAUUGUGUGACCCAAAUUCUAAGAGAUUGCUUGCAAGUCAAGUUAAACAAAAAUAUAUUUUCUUUCUAGAAGAUUUAGUAUUUAUUAGUAUAAUAUAUUUAGCAUUUAUUAGUAUAGUUUAUUUGACUUACUAAUUUAGCCUAUAAAUAGGCUCUUUACAAUCUUAGAAUUAAGUGACACCCAUUAGAUUAGAACUCAUAACACAUUCAGAGAAUUUUGUGUUUACGUUUUGAGGGUUCUUUGUUUUUCGGGUUUUCGGGGUUUAGUUUUUAUCUUCAUCUUUUGUACUCUUCAUUCUUUUGCCAUUAUAGUAAAAUUAUCUUUGCCCGUGGUUUUUUAUCCUCUUUUAAGGGGUUUUUCCACGUUAAAUUUGCGUGUUCAUCUUCUCAAUUUCUUCUACUAUUUUUACUUGUUCGUUGCUUAAUCGGAACGAUCCUAACAUUAGCGUUUUUUAAUCUACUUCCCUUAUCCUUGAAUGUGCGAUUAAGGGAAGCUCCACCAUGGCUAAUACCAGCUUUAUUCUCAAAACCACGCCUUCUAGAACCAGAAAAAGAUUUAUUAGUAUUGACCAAAAUAUUUUUCUUAUAUUACCUUUGAAUGAUUUUGGCACAUUAUUUUCAUUAAAAAUAACAGCCAAAUGAUGUUUCGGGUCUAAAAGAGUAGCGUCUAAUUUAAUUGCAGUUUCACUAGGUCCUUCGAACAUGGGAUUAUUGAGAACCAACUUAUUUUUCACUUUUCCUGGAGAACCCAAUUGCACUUCUACAAGAUUCUGCUCCAUAAUUUUUUUAUCCAAAAUAGUAUUUUUUUUCCGCUUAAAAAACGUUGUCCAGUCCACUGGGAUUUAGCCCAUCAGGCGCUAAAGGACCAGUCUGCCCAGGCCUAACCUCACUUGGCCCACCAAGCUUCAUAUUCGACGGCCUGCUCAUUCCUACGUCAUCGCAUUUUACUUGCGCAAAGCCUGUAGACGGAAUGAAAGAACCAGAAUUAGAAGAGGUUAAAUUAGUAUUCAAGUCUUUAUUAAUUUGGAAAAACCCCGCUGAUCCCUCAGGCAUUUUUCCUAAAGAUUUAAGACUAAAAUCUCCCUUGACUAGGCCCGACCCAAUAACCCCUGGCCUGCUAGCACUAGACCUCAAAAAAGCCCAAUCGAAAGCCUAAACUCUGCCUCAGCCCCACGACCCACUUCAACAUCAUAACCGAAAUCCUUUAAAGGCUUAACCCUAGUUUUAUUACCUCUCAAACCCCCCGCCGCACUACCUUCUCCCUUCUCCCCCAAAAAUCCCUCAUCAGAUCCUCCCAAAUCACCACUUAAAGCACCUUCCACGAUCAACAAUAAAAAUCUAGACCCCAACGAACCUUUUCCAACUUUGCUACCCCAUUAACCCGAGAAUCCCAUUGACUACGCCUUGAUUUCCUCUCAACCAACAUCCACAACCUGUAAUCUAAUCUCAUUUCUUCACCACCAUCUUCUUUGGAGACCACCACUGUCACAUCUACGGAACUCCCUGAAGCCAGAUUCUCUCCCACCGAUAAGCACAGCUCCUUAACAUGACCAUAUUUGCCACAACAGAAGCAAAUCGUCGGGAGUGCCUCAUACUCAACCCUUUGAACAGCACAUCAACCAAGACUUGAGAGACCAAAGGUUUGUCAAGAUUGAUGAAUACUGCCAAGCGGGCAAACCGUCCCUUGGUUUUGUUAUCGGUUUGUAAAUCUAAUUUGAUGAAUUUUUUGAUUAGUCCUCCAAUAGCUUCAAUGAUUUUUCGUUUAUACAGGUAUCCUGAAAGACUCGAUAAAUGAAUCCAAGCCAUCACCAUGCUAGAGUAAGGCUGUGUUGGAUUAAACAUUUUUGUCCAUGGUUGCAUAGUAAGAUAUUGCCCGAAUAUGAUCCAUGGACCCUGGGUUAAAACUUUGUUGUAAUCGUCAAUAUCUUGAAACUUAACCAAAAAAUAUCCAUUAGUGGUAUCCAUUAGAUGAAAAGAUUUUGCAGGUUUCCAAAGAUUAAGGUUACGAUUGUGAAGCACGUUGUAUCCAAUGUUACGCCCUAAUAGCUUGAGAAUGACCGUCAACUCCAUUUCUUUGAAUAGUAUGUCCUUGAUGCGAUCCAAGAAGGCGAUUGCCGGAAUCCCAUUAACCAUGGACAUAUUCACAUCUCCUUCCAUAAGUUCAAAAUCACUCUCAUCCUUUCCAAAAAUCCCUUCAAGAUUCCCGUCAGAGGAGGCAACACCUCCCCCCAAAAGCUUGUCUUUAAAAGACAUAAUUGGCUGUUGAUUAGAAUCAACAACCAUAUUAUUGUCUUCCCCAUCAACAGCUUCCUUGAAUAUUACUUUUUUGGUAUUUCGGUCACCGUCAGCGUACGAAUCUCUAUCAGUAUCGUUACCGGAAUUUUGCGUCUCCAUUGCUUUGAUAAUACUAAAAUUAUUUUUAAAAUAGGCCAUCACAUCUUUAACAAAAUAAUUGAAAGAAAUUAGUUGGUGAUGAAUUUUAAUAAUGAUACUAUUUACUCACAAGACAAAAAGGAACUAAUGGAUAAGGUAAUCCAUUAACUUAUUAAUGUUAUUAUGAGUGAAUCCAUGUGCUUUUGCCCUUAAUUUAAAACUUUAUUCAUCAUUAUAACUUCAUUUAAUAUUAAAUAGGAGAAAACAAAUCAUUGUGAAAAUGACAUCUUCACAAGACACAGCAAUAUAUAAUAAUAAUAAUAAUAAUAAUAAUAAUAAAGCAUUUAACCGUUUGAUAUUUUCGUUGUUUUUGAGAGAAGUAACAUUUAAUCUUUAAAUUUGAUAAUUUUUUUAUUUUUAUAGUUCACAUUAAUUUUUUUUCAAUUUAAUCCUUAAAUUUGACUUUUAUUAAAGUAUGAUGAAGUAACAUUUUAAGAUUAUGCUAUGUUAUUACUUAAAAAUUUCAAAAUUUUAUAUAAAUUCUAAAAGUAAUUAAUUUAAGGGUUUGUUUGAUUGAAGGAAUUGAUUUUCCGGAAAAUCAUUUCCAACUUUUCCAGCGUUUGAUUGGCGGAAAAUAUUUUCUAUUUGGAAAAUGAACUCAAAAACAAGGGAAAAUGGGUUACAUUUUAGGGAAAAUGUCUUACCCUUUCAAUUUCCGUAAGACAUUUUCCGUGUUCUCCUCUCUAUCGCCUCCUUCAUUCCUUCCUUCAUUUCCGGUAGAAAAUUACUUCUAUUUAUCGAUUUUCCAGUAACUUAUUUUUUUAAUUAUUCAAUACUUGUUUUUUAACACAAUUACAAAUAAUUUAUUUGAUAUUAAUUUUUUUUCAAUUUAUAACGAUUAAUAUUACGGCUUAAUAAUUGAGUAUUAUUAUAAAUAAAUCAUUGCAAUAUAUGUAAAAAUAAUUUAAAAUAUAAAAAUUUAUUAAUAUAUAUCAAUAUAUGUAAAAACAAUUUUUUCGAAAAAUAUUUCCAGGAAAUCUACCAACCAGCCGAAAAUAUUUUACACAGAUUCAAUCAAACACCAGAAAAUAUUUUCCAGUAAAUCAUUUUACAGAAAAGUAAAACAUUUUCCCGAAAUUAUUUUACGGAAAAUAUUUUACUGGCAAUCAAACAGACCCUAAAUAAAAGUAAUUUUUUAAAAAAAUAAUAAUUUCAAGUGAUAAUUUGACAUAACCUCAAAUGUCACCUCAUUGUACUAUAACAAAAACUAAGUUCAUGGACCAAAUUAAAAAAGAAUUCAAGACUAAUAAAAACAAAUAAAAGGACCAAAAUGAAAAAAAUCACCAAAUUUAUAAACUAAAUGUCAAUUAUAUUUAUCAAAAGCCGACUGGUUUUAGAAGGAAAAAGAAAUGAAUUUCUCAUCAAUUAAUCCUACUCAUAUUUCAAACAUGGUUUGACACCAUUCAAAACUCAUCUCCAAAUCCAUUUCAAUUUCAGUCCAGAAAAAAUCUGAGGCAAUCCUCAAAUCCCACAAUGAAUUGAAUUAGUUUUUUUUUUUUUAUGUGGAUAAAGUUCUCUUAUCUAAAUCUUUCAAGCAUACAAUUAUUUGAGUAUCAAUCAUAUUCAUUUUACAGUUUACGUUUAAGGAUUAUAGCUAUAUUUUUUAACAAUACUGUCUCCAAGAUUCAAAUCCGUAUUUUACUAUUGGGAGUGCACUGUGUCUUAUCAUUGCAUCCAAAACUUAUUUAUAAGAAUGAGGGCAUAAAUGACAAUCUUUAGAAAAAUUGAGAUAAAAUAUAUAAAAAAAGAGAGUCAUAAUUUAACAUUUAUAUUUAUCAAACAAUCUAAUUAUAUUUCGCAUUUAAUUUUAUGUAACAUAUAAAACAUAUUUUAUAACUUAAAUUCAGUACUUAUUUUUAAUGUUUAACUUUUCAAUAUUUAUUUUUUAGCAUUUAAUUUUUCCGUUUAUCAAACAACACCUAAAUCUUUUAUAAAUAUAUUUUUCAUAUUAAUUUUUCUUUCACCUAUAUCGUGCAUGGGUCAUAAUCUAAUAAUAUUUAAGUGCAUGAUUUAGUUAAUGUAAUGAGUUAACCACACACAACUUAUUUAAAAAAUUGACUAAAAACGUUUUCUUUUAUAAAAUAACAAUAUUUGUGUUUUAUUUUUUUAUACAAAAUUUAUAAAAAAAAUUUAAACCCAAAAUAGAUUUAGAAAAAAAAUCAUAAUUACUUCAUUAAAAACUUUUAAAAAUAAAUAUAGAAAAUAAUACUUUUUUAACUAGAACGUAAGUCGUAACUAAAAUCAUUUUAAUAAAUAAUAUAAUAUGUUAAAUUAUUGAUUGAAUUAUUAUCACAGGUAAAACAGAUAUCACUUCAAUUAAAUAAUAAUUUCUUUUUACAAAUUUAUUAUAUUAUUGUAAGAUAUUUGGUAUAUUUUUAUAUAAAAAGCCAUACAAUAUUCAACCAAUUAUAUAUAUAUAUUUAUACACUAAGGUUGAUUAAUCACCAUUAAUUUUUAUAGAAUUGUUCUUAAAACUAUAGUUUGAAAGCAACAUAAACUUUAUAUUAUCACCUUUGAACGUGUCGGUUUUUUUGAUUAAAGAAAACUUUUUCCAGUUAAGGAUAAUGAUUUUAUAAUUGAAAAUUGAUUUUCUCAAUCUUAUCAAAACACUCCCCUCUCUUUACCUCAUUAAACUAACAUGCAAAGGGCCAAGUCAAAAAUUUUCCUUAAAAAGGGUCCAAAGUAAUAAAUAUUUAGAAGGAUCAAAAUAAAAUUUUACCAUGAAACUUGAAGAUUAAUUUGUAUAUUUAUAUUUAUAGGGCGAAUUUAAAAGGUAAGCAGGUGCUUUGCUCUCUCAAAAUCAAAAAAGAUUUCAAUUCAACUCCAUGAUUAACUUAUAAUUAAUAUAAUAAAAUUACAUUUUAGUCCUUAAAAAUGAAAAUAAAUUCAAAUUAAUCCCUUCAAAAAAUGAUAGAAAUAAUAAAAUUCAUACAUGUUCAAAAAAUUAUAAUUCAAUUUUCACCCAAAUGUUUUCCCAAAUUCGCAUACACAUAUAUACUUACCAUAAACAAAACAAAGAGAAGCAAAGCUCUUAGUAAUAUGCUGCUUGAAAAUUUAAACAUUUACCCAUAUUUCAUAUAUAUAUAUAUAAGAAGCAAAUACAGAAAAUCAAACAUACCUAUAUAUCCAUAUAUUUCACAUAGGUAGAGUUAUACAGAUCGGAAUUGUUAUGAAAACAUACAUGGUGGAUAUAGAUACACAUAUACUUAUGUAUAUGUGUGUAUUAUUGGGGUUUUUAUGUAGUUUCAACUGACUUGGGAGAAAGAGAAACCAUGGAAGUAUUGUUGGUAGGCAUGGAUUUUGAUCGUUUCAUCAUCCAAGAUGAUGAGCUUGAUCUGUGAAAUCUGCACCGGAAAGAGCCUUGGUGAGUCGUCGGCGAGCACAAACAUUGGCCUCCUUUCGGCGAGUUGGCUGCCGCCGACGCUGCUGCUUCCGAGUUGCUGCCUUUGGGGGAGGUGAUGACGGUGAUGUUUUCAUGGGACGCCAUUGAAAAGAGAGAGAGAAAAGAGAAAAUAAAUGAAGAGUUAGUUCUAGUGGGCAAACUUUAAAGAAGAAGCUUAUUAAGCCUUUUUGUAUUAUAUAUAUAUAGGUCAAAAUAUG
RNAcentral lists this long non-coding RNA (12225 nucleotides) under Gossypium raimondii (Peruvian cotton). RNAcentral's name for it is "long non-coding RNA (GRAI_LNC000007)". Lineage: Eukaryota; Viridiplantae; Streptophyta; Magnoliopsida; Malvales; Malvaceae. The record is from RNAcentral.